UCAGAGUGACUAAGAUGUACAGAAAUGU
This 28-nucleotide non-coding RNA is filed under the name Rattus norvegicus (Norway rat). The record is from RNAcentral. Lineage: Eukaryota; Metazoa; Chordata; Mammalia; Rodentia; Muridae.